This is a small nuclear RNA of Suncus etruscus (white-toothed pygmy shrew), 163 nucleotides long. RefSeq annotates it as U1 spliceosomal RNA. The record is from RefSeq and is a predicted model, not a curated record. NCBI's taxonomy places the organism in Eukaryota, Metazoa, Chordata, Mammalia, Eulipotyphla, Soricidae. The transcript has a single exon.
AUACUUAUCUGGCAGGGAAAUACCAUGAUCACAAAGGUGAUUUUCUCAGGGUGAGGUUUAUUCAUUUCACUCUGGAUGUGAUGACCCCUGCGAUUUCCCCAAAUAUGGGAAACUAGACUGCAUAAAUUAUGGUAGUGGGGGACUGUAUUCGUGCUCUCCCCUG